This is a non-coding RNA of Triticum aestivum (bread wheat), 135 nucleotides long. The record is from Rfam. NCBI's taxonomy places the organism in Eukaryota, Viridiplantae, Streptophyta, Magnoliopsida, Poales, Poaceae.
UUUCUACUCCCUCUGUCCGAAAAUACUUGUCAUCAAAAUGGAUAAAAAGAGAUGUAUCUAAAACUAAAAUACGUCUAGAUACAUUUCCUUUUAUCCAUUUUGAUGACAAGUAUUUCCGGACGGAGGGAGUAUUUG